This 253-nucleotide ribosomal RNA is filed under the name uncultured bacterium. Its description in RNAcentral is "partial 16S ribosomal RNA". It matches the Rfam family "Bacterial small subunit ribosomal RNA", at positions 524 to 776 of the family's 1533-position model. The record is from RNAcentral.
UACGGAUUGGGCUAGCGAUGUUCGGAAUUACUGGGCGUAAAGAGCGCGUAGGCGUCUUACCAAGUUGGGGGUGAAAUCCCGGAGCUCAACUCCGGAACUGCCUUCAAAACUGGUAGGCUCGAGUCCGGAAGAGGGGCGUGGAAUUCCCAGUGUAGAGGGGAAAUUCGUAGAUACUGGGAAGAACGCCGGUGGCGAAGGCGGCGCCCUUGUCCGGUACUGACGCUGAGGCGCGAAAGCGUGGGGAGCAAACAGG